GUAACACGUGGGUAACCUGCCUUAUAGUGGGGGAUAGCCUUUCGAAAGGAAGAUUAAUACCGCAUAAGAUUGUAGUAUCGCAUGAUAUAGCAAUUAAAGGAGCAAUUCGCUAUAAGAUGGACCCGCGUCGCAUUAGCUAGUUGGUGAGGUAAUGGCUCACCAAGGCGACGAUGCGUAGCCGACCUGAGAGGGUGAACGGCCACAUUGGGACUGAGACACGGCCCAGACUCCUACGGGAGGCAGCAUG
Molecule: ribosomal RNA, 247 nt
Filed under: uncultured bacterium
Lineage: Bacteria
Description: partial 16S ribosomal RNA
Rfam family: Bacterial small subunit ribosomal RNA
Source: RNAcentral